Molecule: long non-coding RNA, 315 nt
Filed under: Cervus hanglu yarkandensis (Yarkand deer)
Lineage: Eukaryota; Metazoa; Chordata; Mammalia; Artiodactyla; Cervidae
Description: lncRNA (ENSCHYG00000026353.1)
Source: RNAcentral
GAUCGCAGCGGUGGGCCCCUCACUGGGAGGAGUAGCUUCUGCAGGAGAGAAUUGUUCCUCCUCUCGGUCCAGCUGCCUUCUCUCCGCUCCGUCUGUACUUCACGGCUCUGAACCACUGCAGCAUUCAUUCUAGAGUGUUAUUCCAUCAGCGGCACCUCAGAUCAUCAGGCACUGGGUCCCGGAGAUUGGGGAACGCCAGCUGUAAGGUACAGUCUCUUCGCAGAUUCCAGGGUCAGGAUGGGGGAAGCUUUGGGAAGUGGAGGCGACUGGGAAUCUUUCUGCGCCCCACAUGGGGUCACCCCUGGUGUUUGUAAG